Molecule: non-coding RNA, 170 nt
Organism: Draconibacterium orientale
Lineage: Bacteria; Pseudomonadati; Bacteroidota; Bacteroidia; Marinilabiliales; Prolixibacteraceae
Source: Rfam
UCCAUCGUGAGGUGGAAUCUGAAGGAAGCUGAAAGCAAAUUUCUGACCCGAGGAACACGAACAUCAUUAGGCAUUUCCAAUGGGAUAAGUUUGCCAAACAAAACGAAGUCCAAAACUACACGGACAUUGGAGUGUAGAUGGUGCGGGUGGAUGGAAUGAAAGUUAUUUAU